GCCAGGAUCCACCUCUUCCCAGACCUCGUUUAAGGUUUGGUAGUGGAGGUGAGGGUAUUUGUUGCUGGAGAUCCCUGCCUACUUUGGCUCUUCUAAAGAGGAAGUGAACAGCAUCAGUGCCAUCAUAAGUCUUUGAAGCACUCCUGAAGUAAAUCUGCCUCCAGUCCAGAGGAAAUGAUGCUGUAUUCUGUUAUUUGCACAACUACCUUUUCCAUUAAUCGUCUUUGGUCCUUGGGAUGGAGAAAAAUGAAAAUUUCCUUAAAGAAACAGCUGUGUCCUGCCUGCAGCCUGAAGAAGAAUGGCAUUAGUCACAUGCAGUUCAACACGUAGCACAAUUGUAAAGUUCACUCUAUGAGACUGACAGGAGCUAUUCACAUCAGCCCCCUCCACCAUCUGCCUGAAUGGCAGCGGCUGUGGGGUGGUGACAGCCCCCCUGCCUGCCCCAGUGCUUGGGGACAGACUCUGAGUUGGCCCCAUGUGUGGUAAAUCGGGGGUUGAAAGCAACGGGAGGAUGUCACUCAGGUCAAAGCAGAUUGUCCAGAGAAAAAAGUGGGGAGGGAAGAGUCAAAGCUAGUGGGAGUACCAAUUUGCUGUUCUCCUGGGGAAAAGGUGUUGGCUCCAAUAUGGUGAGAAGCAAAGAGAACAGCUGAGUCUGGGGCAAAAUCCUAUAUCUUCCUCCUUCCUCACUUCCUGACCUUGGAUUUAGGGACAGGUUCUGAGUCCAGAGGGCAACCUGCUGGAGGAUUGAAUGCAGUCAGUGUCCCCUCUUGGUAUGCUUCAGGGUCCCUCCUGUAGUCUACGAAGGUCAGACUGGAUGAAGGAGUGAGGUUCAUUUUCAUCCUGUCACCUGUUUUUUCUUGUUUCCAGAUGGUGACUUCUCAAAACACAAAUUCCUGCUAUCAAACCCUGGGGCAUGUGGCCCAGCAUCCUUAAAAUCCUUUCCUCUCCAAUAGCAGUAGUUCUUAACGUCACCAAAUUCCUGCAGUAUGAUGUUAAGCAUCAUCUCCCACUUUUACGCCACUGGCACAUCAUUAACAUUAAUCUCCUUUUUUCUCCUCACCUCUCCAAAACACAAUGAACUGAAAUCUUUGAAUUUCUAAAGAAAUCUUUCCUACAAUUUCUAAGCUUUGUUUUUAAGUAGAAAUCUGUUUACUACUUUUUUUUUUUUUUUUUUUUAAUAAAUGGAGGUUGCCUAGUUUUAACUUGCAUAAGGAAAAGAUGAGAAGAACAGUGCUUGGCAUAUGGACAUAUCCCAGACAAAAGAAUACUGGUCCCAAAUCAGGGAGGGCAAGAAGCUCAUUUUAACCCAGCCCGGAAAGUAUACUGGCACUGCAGUAUGCAGCGGAGUUAUACUGACAGCAGGGUGAGCCCUGUGACAAUGUUUAUUCAAGUUAAGACGGAGAAAAAGUGCUCUUUUUAGGAGAGAAAAAAGCAUUUUGUGUAAGCCAGUGCCAGAACAGUGAUUUUUGCAUCACCUCUGUGCUACUCAGAUUUUCAUUAACUGCUCUUUGCUUUAGUGAUCAUUACAAUAGUAGCAGUGAUUGGAGUAUUUGUGUUAUCUCAGCUGCCCAGUGCACUUACUGCACUGCCUCCUCUCUUAAUGGUUUGCAUUACUGGAUCUGCUCAUGCAGUCCUGGAAUGAUGCUGAUGUUGGAAUAUCUGUGCUGCACGAGUCCCUGAGAGUAGAAAUAAGCUGGAAGAGGUUCUGGGGUAGAACUGGCUAAAUUGUGAUACCAGUUACAAUGAGUGACGUUUUUAAAACACUUCUUGGGUAUUUCUGUGGAAGAAAAUAAUUUUUCAGAGUUUCUGCAUGUUUGGGAAAAGCAUAACUGCAUCCUUUUAGUGAAUGGGUUUACUCCUGUGCUUCACUUAGAAAAAGGAGUUAGGAAAUUUCACAUACCAAAAAUUCCCAAGAAGACAGCUGUCGGGAGGUGACAUGUCAGAUAUGAAGUGGCUCUCCAGCUGGUCCCUGUCUGCAUGCUGGGAAGGCAUGUGGAGACAUUUUUUCAAUUGCUGUACUAGUUUGACACGUUCACAGUGGAAAAUGAUGUAUCAUUCUUGAGCCUUUGGUUGGUGGACACUUCAAAGUGCACUGGAUCCUCAGAGAGGAGUGCCCUAUUGUUAAUUGUUCCUUUCACAUGUACAUUGGGAUGAACAUGGUGAGAGCAGUGAGGAACAAAAGGGCUCCGGUGGUCUCUUAGGGAAAACCCUGUGCAGCUCAACCUGAGUCUGACCUUGAAAGGGUGGGUUGCUCUGCUUCUUAAAUCCUGCUUGCUGGUUCAUUCCUCUUUAGCUCCCUGCCGUUACCCAGCUGCAGGAGAAAGGGAUGCUGGAGCGGCAAGUGUGGUGAGGCAUGGGAAGCUGCCACGUGGUGGCCAAGGAGCUGUGACCAAGGCAAGUGGUCCUCCUGGAAGGCACAGGCAUAGAUGGGCGUUUGGAGAGAGCUUCAGUGGUGUGGGAGGAGUGCUGGGUUCUCCAUACACACAGCCACAAAUCCCCUUUCUUUCCUGUAAAUCCCCUAUAAUUGAUUGUUGGACACCCAGUAUAUGACAUGAGUUUCUUAGGCCUCUGAGGACGUGGUUCAUUAACAUCCUCAGAAACUCCUUUGCUACCAGGCACCUGUCCCACAUCUCUCUUUAUCUUCCUUCCCUGGACAUACCACUUGGGGAUACAGUGUACAUGUUGUCCAGGGUGUGGUCAAAUGCUCAAACACAGCAGGAAAUUUGUUCCUCCAGAGAUGUGAAGCCUUGAUGUGCAUCUUGUCAAUUGUGCUAGAAAAAACUUCUCUCUGUAAACUCAGCUGCAGAAAAAGGACCUGUGUCAAGCUACAAAGAGGCCAGGCCCCAGCUAGUGUAUCCCAAAAUAGAUGCUUGAGCAGAUGACUGGAAACUCACCCCCACAAUCUUACUGGAGAAGAUUGCAUGGAGACGUGAGGCAGAUGAUGUGGUUAGCUGCACUAGGUCUCCUGGGAAGGAGCUGCUUUUGGAAUAGAAACUGUGAGAAGAUAAGCCCCAGUGCCUCCAGCACUGUAAGUAAGGGCAAAGCUGCCCCUCACUCUGCUGAUAUAAUCCCAUCUCACACAGCACAGAGGUGCCUUUAAGGCUUUCUACCUUGCCAUCAGAUUGCAACCCACUGCAGUAGUGCAAAGGCUCUGUGGCAUCUUCUGCUGUGCAGUGUCCUAGCCCAAGGUCUCUCCAGAUCUGCAGCACCUGAGUACUGAAAUAUAUGGCUUGGGUUGGACUGGGAGAAAUGGUGUGAAAAUGGGGUGGCAGCGCUGAGCAUGCUGGCAUAGGAAGACUUGAGGAGUCCUCAGCCCAGCAUACAGUGGUACAGUCUAGAUCUUGUCCUUCUCUAAAGAAAGCUGGAUUAAAAGAAAUAAAUGCAAAAUAUUGCAUCUGUCAGCUCUCAGACCUUCAGUGCCUUACGUUGGCAAAGAAGAUUUUACUUGCAAAAUGAGAGAUAGCUUGGACUUCAGUCCCUGCUUUCCCAGGGCUGGUAGUCUCUUUCUGGCUGUGGGCAUGCUUACCCUGCCACUGUCCCUCUCCUCCCAUCCCUGGGGUGUUGCAGGCAGUGGAUCCCAGGCUGGUACAUGGGGCAGCAGCCGGCUCCACAUCACCCACGUAUACCAAAGGCAGCCCUCCUGCUCUCCUAUUCCCCUAGCUCCCAGUUUUGCUUUGCUAUUAAGUUAUUGCUACCCCUCAGGGACAAGCCUGCACGAAGGCAGAGGGCUCACAUAGCUAUGCAUCAGUAAAGGAAGCAGCUCAAUUAGCAUUUCACACGCCUUUUCUUCCCUCUCUUCUUACCUUCCCUGCAGCGGGCAUGCUUUCCCCUUAAAGGAUUGUCCUGUUUCUGCUCCUUGCCAGCGUUGGCAGGGUGACAGUA
Molecule: RNA transcript, 3882 nt
Organism: Lagopus muta (rock ptarmigan)
Lineage: Eukaryota; Metazoa; Chordata; Aves; Galliformes; Phasianidae
Gene: FAM181A
Gene name: family with sequence similarity 181 member A
Exons: 3
Source: RefSeq, a predicted model, not a curated record